RNAcentral lists this ribosomal RNA (379 nucleotides) under uncultured eukaryote. Its description in RNAcentral is "partial 18S ribosomal RNA". It matches the Rfam family "Eukaryotic small subunit ribosomal RNA", at positions 592 to 976 of the family's 1831-position model. The record is from RNAcentral.
CAAUAGCGUAUAUUAAAGUUGUUGCGGUAAAAAAGCUCGUAGUUGGAUUUCUGUUGAGAGCGACCGGUCCAUACCAUGUAUGCGUAUCUGGCUUGCUCUCGGCAUCCUCUCGAUAGACGUUACUGCGCUUGAUUGCGUGGUGCGGAUCUCGGGACUUUUACUUUGAGGAAAUUAGAGUGUUCACGGCAGGCUUUCGCCAGAAUACAUUAGCAUGGAAUAAUACUAUAGGAUCUUGGUUCUAUUUUGUUGGUCUCUAGAAUUGAGAUAAUGAUUAAUAGGGACAAUUGGGGGCAUUCGUAUCAACACGUCAGAGGUGGAAUUCUUGGAUUGUGUUGCGACGAACUACUGCGAAAGCAUUUGCCAAGGAUGUUUUCAUUGA